UCCACCUUACUUGUUAUUCUAAACAAAAUCACACGGCGUCUUCACGGGCGAUUGGAUCUGAGCUUGAGGCGGAGAUGGCGGAGGACGGAGGCAGAGGCCGCCGUCUCUGCCGGUCGACGACGGAGAAACGGCCGCAACCGAGGAGGACGGCCAUGGAGGGGAGAGUGCUGCCUCGAUCCGGAUGAGGGGAGUAGCAGCUGCGACCUCGAUGCGGAUGAGGAGAGCAGCAAUCGCGCCCGGCGGCCUCGGCUAGGAGCUUUGCCCUCUUAUUCCCGCGCGGUGCAGCGGCGACCUGAGGACGAGUUCGAGGCACAGUGGUCGUUCCAGCACACGAUGCCGGGGGAGGCGGCGGUGCUUCCUUGCCUCAUCUGUUCUCCUUAUCUGAGGUCCGUCCGACGGCAGAUGCACACCCGACGUCGUCAUGGAGGCUCCGACCCCGAGGCACCCUCCCUGCUUCCUUCUGGUUGCAUCUCCCCCUGAUUCUAUUUUAUCCAUGCCUACACGAUGCACAACAGAACUCCUAGCAGGCUUGCAAUCUCACGCGUAAGGGAAGAUGUGUUCCUCUCUGGCUAGCACCUGCUCGAUCAAAUGCCUAGCCAUUUCAAUCGUUUAUUGUAGGAAAUAUAAGGUGCACCCAAAUAGGAGGCCAUUCUGUGCAGCCUAUUCUUUUCAGUUCUAGGAAUCCUAUGGUAGAGGGUGGUGUUAGUUCUAUAAAUAACUUUCAGACAUCUGUAGUUUUUCAGGUUGUAGCGUGACAACUUUGAUCAAAAUUUGUUUCAGUUGACUCUACAUUCCAUUUGUUGAUUUUGUGUUCUUAACUGAAAGCAGAGUUUGUUGAUGUAAGUGACUUGGAUUAGUAUUCUUCUCUUUGCUAUGCUAAUAUUCACCUUGCUUCAGUUGACCCCACUUUCCGUUCAUUGAUUUUGUGUUCUUAACAGAAAGCAGAGUUUGUUGGUGUAAGUGACUUGGAUCAGUAUUCUUCUUUUUGCAUAUGCUAAUAUUCACCUUUAACAGCUGCUAAAGUAUCAUGGCAUUAUAUCAAACUCUGCUCUGCCCAAAUUUUCCAGGCCUGAAGAGAGGAAGUAGGCCGGCGGCAAGGAUCCAGUGACGAGCGCCUCCGUAGCGCAGAUACUUUGGAUCUAUGUGCUUUGGCCAAAUUGGUCGAGCCUGAGACUGAUUAGAAGGACAGAUGGGCCUGGAAGAUACACCAGAAACAGAAGAAAAAGUUCUCAAAAUUGCGAAAGAGCGAUAUAGAGGCCGGUGAUCAACUCUAAGCUCCACUUACAAGGCAUACAAAACAGAUGCAGCUAGAUUGGCUAAUCUGCCGGAAGAUUUACAACCGGAAGAGUGAAUGGAUGAUUGAGUACUUUGGCACUGAUUCAAAAUUUCAGGAACACAACCGAAAGAACACUGAUAACCGUAAGAAACAGAAGACAAAACACAGAAUUAGAUCAAAAUCUUACUCGCAACUAAGUUUUGAUAAGGAUCCAAAGAACUAGCUCGACUGGACUCUAAUCACGGACAAUUUAGUCUUGGCACUUAAUUGGGAUGGCUAAAUUACAUUUGAGUUUCAUUUGAUGGAUAUUUACUAUGAGAAUUAUGAAUUUUAUUAAUCUACAUAUUAUACAUAUGGUUUUAAAUAUUGUAAUUGAAUGCCUGUAUUUUUUUUAGGUUGCAGUAGGCUAUUGCCACAACCUCA
Long non-coding RNA from Triticum dicoccoides, 1699 nucleotides. RefSeq lists it as uncharacterized. Lineage: Eukaryota; Viridiplantae; Streptophyta; Magnoliopsida; Poales; Poaceae. The record is from RefSeq and is a predicted model, not a curated record. The transcript is spliced from 5 exons.